GUGGGGAAUAUUGGGCAAUGGGGGAAACCCUGACCCAGCAACGCCGCGUGAAGGAAGAAGGUUUUCGGAUCGUAAACUUCUAUCCUUGGUGAAGAUAAUGACGGUAGCCAAGAAGGAAGCCCCGGCUAACUACGUGCCAGCAGCCGCGGUAAUACGUAGGGGGCAAGCGUUGUCCGGAAUGAUUGGGCGUAAAGGGCGCGUAGGCGGCCUGGUAAGUCUGGAGUGAAAGUCCUGCUUUUAAGGUGGGAAUUGCUUUGGAUACUGUCGGGCUUGAGUGCAGGAGAGGUAAGCGGAAUUCCCGGUGUAGCGGUGAAAUGCGUAGAGAUCGGGAGGAACACCAGUGGCGAAGGCGGCUUACUGGACUGUAACUGACGCUGAGGCGCGAAAGUAUGGGGAGCAAACAGGAUUAGAUACCCGUGUAGUCC
RNAcentral lists this ribosomal RNA (425 nucleotides) under uncultured bacterium. RNAcentral's name for it is "partial 16S ribosomal RNA". It matches the Rfam family "Bacterial small subunit ribosomal RNA", at positions 354 to 796 of the family's 1533-position model. The record is from RNAcentral.